RNAcentral lists this ribosomal RNA (1064 nucleotides) under Micrococcus luteus. RNAcentral describes it as "partial 23S ribosomal RNA". It matches the Rfam family "Bacterial large subunit ribosomal RNA", at positions 1422 to 2368 of the family's 2925-position model. The record is from RNAcentral. Lineage: Bacteria; Bacillati; Actinomycetota; Actinomycetes; Micrococcales; Micrococcaceae.
CAACGGGUUGAUAUUCCCGUACCAGUGAAGAACCGCCCAUGCUGAGCCGGUGAUACUAACCGCCCGAACCAUCCCGAUCCUCGUCUUUGACGGGGUCGGUGGUGGGGAGCGCGGGACCUGAACCGGGGAGGCAAGCGCAUUAACAGGUGUGACGCAGGAAGGUAGCCGGGCCGGGCAAUGGAAAUGACCUGGUCUAAGGGUGUAGGGCUGCCGGUAGGUAAAUCCGCCGGCUGUAUGCCUGAGACCUGAUGGGCGCCCACAUGGUGGGUGAUCCGGUGAUCCUAUGCUGCCUAGAAAAGCAUCGGCGCGAGGUUCAAACUGCCCGUACCCUAAACCGACACAGGUGGUCAGGUAGAGAAUACUAAGGCGAUCGAGAGAAUCAUGGUUAAGGAACUCGGCAAAAUGCCCCCGUAACUUCGGGAGAAGGGGGGCCCCAACCUUGAGCACCACGUGCUGGUGUGAGGGGAUCGGGGCCGCAGAGACCAGGGGGAAGCGACUGUUUAUCAAAAACACAGGUCCAUGCGAAGUCGUAAGACGAUGUAUAUGGACUGACUCCUGCCCGGUGCUGGAAGGUUAAGGGGACCUGUUAGCUUCGGCGAAGCGGAGAACUUAAGCCCCAGUAAACGGCGGUGGUAACUAUAACCAUCCUAAGGUAGCGAAAUUCCUUGUCGGGUAAGUUCCGACCUGCACGAAUGGAGUAACGACUUCCCCGCUGUCUCAACCAUGAACUCGGCGAAAUUGCAUUACGAGUAAAGAUGCUCGUUACGCGCAGAAGGACGGAAAGACCCCGUGACCUUUACUAUAGUUUGGUAUUGGUAUUCGGUGUGACUUGUGUAGGAUAGGUGGGAGACUGUGAAGCGGGCACGCCAGUGUUCGUGGAGUCGCCGUUGAAAUACCACUCUGGUCACUCUGGAUAUCUAACUUCGGCCCGUGAUCCGGGUCAGGGACAGUGCCUGAUGGGUAGUUUAACUGGGGCGGUUGCCUCCUAAAAUGUAACGGAGGCGCCCAAAGGUUCCCUCAGCCUGGUUGGCAAUCAGGUGUCGAGUGCAAGUGCACAAGGGAGC